GGUGAUGUAGCUCAGUUGGUAGAGCGUUGGAUUGAAGAUCCAAGCGUCAGGGGUUCGAGUCCCUUCUUCACCAC
RNAcentral lists this transfer RNA (74 nucleotides) under uncultured marine phage. RNAcentral's name for it is "tRNA-Phe". It matches the Rfam family "tRNA". From Rfam's summary of the family: Transfer RNA (tRNA) molecules are approximately 80 nucleotides in length. Their secondary structure includes four short double-helical elements and three loops (D, anti-codon, and T loops). The record is from RNAcentral.